UCCUGGCUUAGGAUGAACGCUGGCGGCGUGCCUAACACAUGCAAGUCGAGCGGAGAUAAGUUGAAGCCUAGCGAUUCUUAUCUUAGCGGCGGAUGGGUGAGUAACACGUGGGUAACCUGCCCUGUACUGGGGAAUAACAGCUGGAAACGGCUGUUAAUGCCGCAUAUGCGCACGGAGCCGCAUGGCUUUGGGCGGAAAGAUUUAUCGGUACAGGAUGGGCCCGCGCCGGAUUAACUAGUUGGCGGGGUAACGGCCCACCAAGGUGAUGAUCCGUAGCCGACCUGAGAGGGUGACCGGCCACAUUGGGACUGAGACACGGCCCAAACUCCUACGGGAGGCAGCAGUGGGGGAUAUUGCACAAUGGGGGAAACCCUGAUGCAGCGACGCCGCGUGAAGGAUGACGUAUUUCGGUAUGUAAACUUCUAUCAGCGGGGAAGAAGAUGACGGUACCCGACUAAGAAGCCCCGGCUAACUACGUGCCAGCAGCUGC
This 490-nucleotide ribosomal RNA is filed under the name uncultured bacterium. RNAcentral describes it as "bacterial SSU rRNA". It matches the Rfam family "Bacterial small subunit ribosomal RNA", at positions 17 to 518 of the family's 1533-position model. The record is from RNAcentral.